GUCAUUUUAGGUCUCAAUUUAACUCUGUCAAACAUGCAAGCGUAAACAUCAAGGCCUUGCGGCCCUGUGCUAAUGUGUCGGUCGCAGUGGGGUUGUCCAGUGAAGAUUCUCAGUGAGGAUUUCUCAGUGAAGAUUCUCAGUGAGGAUUCUCAGUGAGGGUCCACAGUGGAGCCCCACAAACCAACCAACCGAUUUGUAAUGAUCCUUCCGCAGGUUCACCUACGGAAA
Molecule: unclassified non-coding RNA, 228 nt
Filed under: uncultured fungus
Lineage: Eukaryota; Fungi
Description: sequence contains ITS1
Source: RNAcentral